GUGGCUCUUAAGGAGCGUGAGAAGCUUAAUCUCAUGGCCUUCCCUCCUAAGCUGGUGGUGGAGCAGUUUACCAUGAUGGAUGCGGAGCUCUUCCAGAAGGUGGUGUCCUCUCCGUGUCUGGGCUCCACCUGGGGCAAGAGGAACAAGCCCGGCAAUGAGCACCAGACACCCAACGUCCAGGCCACCGUCGACCACGUCAGAAGGGUGGCCAGCUUCGUCAUCAUCCCCUGCCUCGGGGACCCGAGCAAGACAGCCCAGGACAGGGUGAGGGUGGUGGAGCGCUGGAUCCAGGUGGCCCAGGUGUGCUGUGGGAGGCCCAGUGGAGCCCCUCUCUGAAGCCUUGGGAACUGCCUCUCCACAUUUAUCAGCUCCCAGGAUUGCAGUGUGUGGUCUAAGCCCCUGCACAGUCCCUAGGACCUUCCUGCCAGGGGCCCGCUGACUUUAACUCCAGGUCCCAGUGAGAGGAUGCUCACUUCCUACCUGGCUCCUUCCCUGGGUUGAGCUAAAAUCUUGCUCCCUGUGAGUGUUACUCUUUGGGUCCUAAAUGUGCCCUUCUGGGACUCCCUGAGCAUCUGUCUCAUCCAGGAGGGGAGAUUUAAAUAGAAGGGUACUGAAGCUAGAGCAAGCUGGGCUACAGUGCCCCACCUCACAGCUCAUUCUCUUCCCUUCCCCAGGAGUUCGAGAUCCUGAAGAACUUCUUCUCGUCCUGCACUGUCAACUCUGCUCUGCAGAAAACCUUCACAAGCCACCUGAAGAACACACGGGGGAAGUUUCCCGAUGAGGAAACAGGCUCAAGGAGGCCAGGCCACAAGCCCAAGCUCACACCCAGAGUGAGAGUUGGAGCUGGGCUUGUUCUGGAAUCACAAGACCUUGGAGGAUGGAAUGACAUUGGUACCAGUUGACUCAAGUCAGAUGUCCAGUGUCGGAGGCCAGUGGUGCUGGAGAGAAAUGGGGUGAGGGGAGUAUGGCCUCACUGACACUGUCCUCGACCC
Diceros bicornis minor is the source of this 992-nucleotide RNA transcript. It is a transcript of the gene named ral-GDS-related protein-like, with no coding region annotated. Lineage: Eukaryota; Metazoa; Chordata; Mammalia; Perissodactyla; Rhinocerotidae. The record is from RefSeq and is a predicted model, not a curated record. The transcript has 3 exons.